CAGGAUGCAAUGAUCAGUCAUUACUCCUGAACUCAAUAGCAGCAGUGGCUGGAAAUAAUUCUUGACUUCCCUUGCCUGGUGACUGUACCCUCUCUGAAUAGCCUUGCAAUUGCAACUACUGAUACCUUUUAUUCUCUUUCAUUGAUUCCUUUACUCCAGAGGUGGACUUGAAGAAAUUAUAUGAACCCCAAAUAGCUAAUACUGAGAAGACUGCCAACAUUUUGGGAGAUUAAAACAACCUAUACUCAUUCCUUGGAAGCAUCAUGAGGACAACAAAAAGGUCAGUGACUUCAUUGCUAAACAGAGCAUGCAAGUAAGGAGUGUGGCAUGCACGUGAAGAGGAGCUGUAUGCUUCACAAUGAGAGGCACCUUCGAUAUAAAUCAUGGAAGCUUGCUUCACAUCUGCCACAUUUAUUUUUCUGAUUCAGUCUCUGCUUCAACCUCUGUGCCGUCUUUAGGCUUGCCAGCACCUCUCCCCCAACUACCUGUCAGCCCAAAUCUUCCACAACCUCAGGAUUCCCAUCACUGCAGCUGGCCCUGCAGCAUCUUGCAGAGGGGAGACUGUGUUUUGCAGCGAACUGCCUUUUGAGCAGGACUUCUGAGAUGGUGAAACCUCACUCAGCCUCACAUAGCUUGCUAGGCAGUUGGGGGUUGGCUGGGGUGAGCAGUGGCAACAGGGCAUAUCUUUCCUAGAAUUAAAUGUAAAUUAGACCAUAUUAAUGAGUGCAUUUUAAAGCACCACAGGGACCAGGAAUAAUAUGCUUCUUACUGGCAUUAGUGUAUUUAUAGAGAAAGCCACCCAGCAAAUAGGUGUUUUAGUUUCCUCAAUUGUCUGUAGGGUUAAAAUGCCUCUACUAAUUCUUUCUAACAACAUUCCUUUAAAUACUAAUCAACAUAAAGCCUGAAGCUAUUGACCCUUGUUGCAACACAACACAUUAACAUGCAAGGGAAACCUUCUCUGCCCAUUUCUGAAAGGGGCAAAGCAGCUCUGGGCCAAGCAUUUGGCCCUGCAGAAUCAUUAUUCCAUUUGCAAGCUUAACAAAGCGCUGCAUUAGAUUUCAGGAACUAUUGAUUGCUCUCUAGGUGGUUAUGCAAAAUCAAUUGUGGGGUUUUGUUUUAGGGAAGAGAGUAGGAGAGGAAAAAGGUUUUGACAGGAAACAUGCCAGGAUUUAAAAGAAGAAGCAUGUGGUUGAGAGGCAUAGGAAUGUCAUGGGGUCACAAUUUCAAAGGUUGAAGCUCCAUCCAGGCAAGUCCUAUCUGUUGCUCUAAUAUCUCAUCGCAGGUUUCUUGAGGCUGUCUUGAAGGGUUUCCUGGCUUUGUUCACUUCCUUUUCAUUGCACAGAGAGCUCUCUAUGGUUUGCAAUUUACUAUAUUUUAACAAAUAAAUUAAGUCACUAGGGAGAAGGGGAAAGAGGAUAUCUGUGCAUAUAUUUUGAGGUAUAUCAUACUUAAAAGGUUGCCUACAGAAGGGAAUAAAUAGGAAGGUUAUUUGGAUGAGGAUUUCAGUCUUUCCAGUUUCCAUGUGCAUAAGCAUACAAAACAUUUCGGUGCUUAAAUAAUUUGUUGAAAAUGGGCUACACUGAUUCACUUCUUACAGAAUCAAAGCUAUAAAGCAUCCCACAUCAUCUGCUUUACCUACAACAUUUACUACCAUUGGGUAAAACAAAAUUAAGCCCAUGGAUACACUUCAGCCCAUACUGAUGGAAAAUAUAAGCCAUUUAGGACUGAAAUAGCAGUUAAUGUUGAUUACCUCCCAGUGACCAUAACGAAACUUGUAAAAAUUAUACACCUUGGAAGAGUCAUCAAAGAUAUUUAGGAAAAGGCACUGUAAAUGAAGGAUGUACCUUCUCAUCUAUUGCUGGACUGUUCAGAGAGUUUGUAGUAUCACUUCCAUUCUGUACGUAGCCAUAUGUAUAAAAAUGAGUUUGUUUUUCCAGGCUGUCAGGGAAAAGCCUCUUGGAGAGCACUAAAUUCACACACAA
Long non-coding RNA from Oxyura jamaicensis (ruddy duck), 1982 nucleotides. RefSeq lists it as uncharacterized. Lineage: Eukaryota; Metazoa; Chordata; Aves; Anseriformes; Anatidae. The record is from RefSeq and is a predicted model, not a curated record. The transcript is spliced from 2 exons.